RNAcentral lists this ribosomal RNA (254 nucleotides) under uncultured bacterium. RNAcentral describes it as "partial 16S ribosomal RNA". It matches the Rfam family "Bacterial small subunit ribosomal RNA", at positions 524 to 776 of the family's 1533-position model. The record is from RNAcentral.
UACGGGGGGAGCAAGCGCUGUUCGGAUUUACUGGGCGUAAAGGGCGCGUAGGCGGUCAGCACAAGUCAGUUGUGAAAUCUCCGGGCUUAACUCGGAAAGGUCAACUGAUACUGUGCGACUAGAGUGCAGAAGGGGCAACUGGAAUUCUCGGUGUAGCGGUGAAAUGCGUAGAUAUCGAGAGGAACACCUGCGGCGAAGGCGGGUUGCUGGGCUGACACUGACGCUGAUGCGCGAAAGCCAGGGGAGCGAACGGG